AAGGAUCAUUAACAAAUCGAAUGGUGGAGGGCGAGGGUGGUGGUGUGUGUGUGCGGAUUCAGAGCGGGAGGAGAGGGGCGGUAUCGCUGAUCUCGAUCAGGGGCUGCCUCAUUCAUCCUGUUCUUCUCUCCAUCGCACCGCUCCUUGCCCAACCCACACAUUAGGUCGGGACCCUCGGGUCCUGUAUCCAUUCACGCUUGAACUGUUUGACAUAUACACUGAUACAUUUUUGACGAGACAACUUUUAACAAUGGACCUCUUGGCUCUUGCAACGAUGAAGAACGCAGUAAAGUGCGAUAUGUAAUGCGAUUUGCAUGAAUCUGUGAGUCAUCUAGUCUUUGAACGCAACUUGCACCAGGCAACUGGUAUGUCUGUUUGAGUACAACAAAACCUAUGCCACCCAUGUGUGUAUGCAUGUGUGUGGCGACUUGACCGUUGAGCACAGCACGAGAGGGGGACGUUGGCGUGGUGGGGGUAGUGUGGUGCAGUCGAGAACUCUCGGCGGAUCCUUCUAUCCCUCGAUUCCACUCGGCUCCCUCUCGCACUCUUGGGUUUAAACGGAGCAGGAUACCGGUGCGAGGACGCCCGACAGUGUGCCAGAGACUACGUGUCUUGUCAUUGUCGCGGUGUCCCCUCAUCCAGCAAUCUCUACUGUUUUGUCUCAAAUCAGGCAAGAAGACCCGCUGAACUUAA
This 693-nucleotide unclassified non-coding RNA is filed under the name uncultured eukaryote. RNAcentral's name for it is "sequence contains ITS1, 5.8S rRNA gene and ITS2". The stretch from base 240 to 385 matches the Rfam family "5.8S ribosomal RNA". The record is from RNAcentral.